CGGAGGGUGCAAGCGUUAUCCGGAUUCACUGGGUUUAAAGGGUGCGUAGGUGGGCAGGUAAGUCAGUGGUGAAAUCUCCGGGCUUAACCCGGAAACUGCCAUUGAUACUAUCUGUCUUGAAUACCCUGGAGGUGAGCGGAAUAUGUCAUGUAGCGGUGAAAUGCUUAGAUAUGACAUAGAACACCCAUUGCGAAGGCAACUCACUACGGGAAUAUUGACACUGAGGCACGAAAGCGUGGGGAUCAAACAGGAUUAGAUACCCUGGUAGUCCACGCCUAACUAUGGAUACUCGACAUCAGCGAUAAACUAGUUGGUGUCUGAGCGAAAGACAUUAAGUAUCCACCUGGAAGUACGAUCGCAAGAUU
This 365-nucleotide ribosomal RNA is filed under the name uncultured organism. RNAcentral describes it as "bacterial SSU rRNA". It matches the Rfam family "Bacterial small subunit ribosomal RNA", at positions 526 to 895 of the family's 1533-position model. The record is from RNAcentral.